This 5873-nucleotide long non-coding RNA is filed under the name Homo sapiens (human). RNAcentral describes it as "HSALNT0264261". Lineage: Eukaryota; Metazoa; Chordata; Mammalia; Primates; Hominidae. The record is from RNAcentral.
CGGUGCCGCAGUGAGUUGGGUGGCGGUGAUUUGUUCGCGGGCGCAGGCUGGGAGGCGGGGUUCCUGACUCACUGCGGCACUGGCAGGGCUGGUGACAGCACCACCCCCGCGCCGCCUGCAAUCUGCCACCGCUGCCACCGAGCCGAGGGGCGCCAGCAAGGCAUCCCCUGGGUCAAGGGGCCUCCCGUGGGCUUUCCAAACAGCCUGUGCUCAUUUCCGCGGGAGCCCUCGGGGCGCUGUGCUGUGGCUGCAUUGUCACUGUUUGUUUAUUUCUACAUCUGCUCUGUUAGAAGAUAGGCUCGCUUAGGACAGAGCCUUCUAAUCCACCCCCUGAUGAAUUCGGGCCCUCGCCUUUGGCACAAUGCCUGGCGUCAUCACAACGCGGGUGAUCAGUAAACGGCAGCGAAGGAAGCGGGGUCAGGACUGGAGAGGAGAGGGGGAGGAAGACAGACGACCGGAGAGGAACAAAAAUGGAAGGUAACUUGAGCUUUCAUAACUGCAGAAGUGCAAAACAGCUCCCUGUGUGAUAUAGGAAGUAAAACCGUAGAGAUGGGACUUGGCUGGCCUGCCCUUCACACACUUUAGACAUUAACCCAAAGUUCAUGCUCCUGCCAUGACAGUGAUGGUGGACAGGAGGGAAGAAAAUGACAAGGAGGAAAGGAGGUGUCUUUUGCUCUUAAAAAUGAGAAGGGUCAUAAACAAUCCAUCGGCUGCAAACCACGAGUUGCCCCCAAAGCAAAGCAGGUUAGUGGCUGCUGCCGCCUCAUCAUAGCUUCAGAACCCACAGAGCCUGGAGGACUGUCAAACAUUAUCUAAUAUCCCAUUCUACAGAAGAGAAAACUGAGGUUGAGGCAGGAACGCAGACAGGAAUCAAGGUUUUGGGGUUGGGAUUUGCAAUCCAUUACUUUGCCUCCUGCAUCCACUGCUUUUCCCUGGGCAUUCUCUUCUUCCGGUUUCUUGGAAGUUAAAAUUGCGAGAGAAGCAACACAGAGUGGUUUUCCCAGGGCCUCGACCUCGGUAAGGGAAGACGUGGAAUUCCGAGUGUGGAGACCCAGACAGCCUCCGAAACCCCCACGCAACCCUGGGCGUUCAGCAGCUGCCAAUGCCCGCCUGACAAGUUUCUGGGGCAUCUCUGCACACGGAGAGGUGUGUCUCCUGCAGCUCCAAAAACAGAUUUUGCCAUCUCAUCCCCAUAUUUGCAGUCUCCAGUUGGCUUCUUGUGAUUGGCCAGAACUUUUCCUCACUGGAGAGAUGAGGAGAAUCCAGUCCUCCAACCAGCUGAGAGAAAACACUGCAGUAGCAGAGAUAGCAAUGGCUGUUCCACCCCACACUGAUACGAUGUCAGGGAGCCAGGGGUGGGCUCAACAGGCUGAAUGAUGCCAGGGACUCCCAAGGGUCUAUACAUUUAACCCUGGAGGAAGUGGCCUCUGACCAGAACAAGUAAGAAUGGACAGAGGAAUACCAUGUGCUGACUGACGAACGCCUGGGUUUCUGAACCAAUUGCCAUCAAGGGGAUUGGGAUUACCAUAAUUUUUGCUGAGACUAAGCCCCACCCCAGUAACCAAAGGCUUAUGGGUGGAAUGCAAGCUAUUGGAAGUAUUUGAAGAUGUGACCAAGGAAGCUAUGAGAAUUGGAAAUGAGGCAGUUGUUUAGAAACGGGCUGAUGUGCUUGUGGCAGUGUUUCAAGAACCCAGCUCCAUUCAUCCUAUGAUGCCACCAUCCUCAGCAUUUGACUUCCAUGGCUCCUGUAAGAGAAGAGAACAUGAAGAACAAAACAGGAGGUUUUUAUGGGAGGCAUGUCAAUUUGACCAGAUACUUUGCCCAGAACCUUGUCACAUGGCCUCUGCCUAAAUGACAAUGAGGCUAGUGGCUGGGUGUGGUGGCUCAUGCUUGUAAUCUCAGCACUUUGGGAGGCUGAGCCAGGAGGGUCUCUUGAGCCUAGGAAUUCAAGAUCAGCCUGGGCAACAUAGGGAGACUUCGUCGCUACAAAAAAAAAUAAAUUAAAAAUUAGCUGGGCAUAGUGGCACAUGCCUGUAGUCUCAGCUAGUUGGGAGGCUGAAGUGGGAAGAUCACUUGAGCUGGGAGGUUGAGGCUGCAGUGAGCCGAGAUCACGCCACUGCACUCUAGCCUGAAUGACAAAGUGAGACCCUAUCUCAAAGAAAAAACAAAAAAUGAGUCUGGGUAACGUAGCCUGUGAGACCAGAAAGAAGCAUCAGGAUUGGCGAGUAUUAAUACCAUCUCUACCAUAAACAUUUUUGGAAAUAUUUCUUUUUUUUUUUUAGAGAAAGGGUCUUGCUGUGUUGCCCAGGCUGGUCUCAAACUCCUAGCCUCAAGCAAUCUUCCCAACAUAGCCUCCAAAAGUGCUGGGAUUACAGGCAUGAGCCAACAAGCCUGGCCCUAGAAAUAUUUCUUUCUCUAAAUUCAAAGUAACUAGGGGGAAUAUUAAUCUCAUUCUAAAUAUUUUAUUUUGUCACUCCCUAUCCUUUGUUUUCAAACACCUCACACUACUAUUAUGUGUUAUCACGAGUCAACUGUUUACAUGUCUAUCUCCAGCUGUUGGUUGGGAGCUCACUGAAAAAGGAAACCUUUGUAAUUCAUUUUUGUAUCCUGAGGGCUUAGCACAGAGGCUGGCACCUGUUAGACCUAAGAAGGAUUGGCAACUCUGGACAAAUCAGAGAAGGAGCGUUGUCAACCCUUUUCUCCUGGUGAUGAUGAUGGUGAUGGUCAAUGUCCACUCCCAAAUAUCUAUAUUGGGAAGAGGUGGUUUGUAGGGUGAGCAUUUGUCUUUUGAGUGUAUACUUGAGGGAGGGAUGAAAUUAUGUUUGUUUUAUACUCUAGAAAAAUUGGCUAAAACAGCAAAUGUAAUUUUACAGAAUGAUGGAGAGGGCAUACUGAGGUGGGAGGCAAAUAAUAGAAGGAGAUGUAAAACUGUCAACCUUGAUCCCCACAGUGAUGGGGGAUGAUGACAGCAGGAGUAAGUUAUGGGAUGAUUGUAUGUUUGUGAACCUCAGUUCUUCUGCAGCAUGAGCUGGCAGGAUCCUCUCCUUGACCACCUCAGGUGACCUGCUGGAGCCCACUGGUCUCACCAGGAGAGGUCAUCGGGCCACCAGACCAACUGAAGUAAUAGUUCUUCUUGAGGACAGUCUCUAGCUCCCCCUCUAUCCCAUCCCACAGUCCAAAAAUGCUACCCAGCAUGGCCUAACCCAGAGUCUACCCCCAAAUAAGUGAUUCUGCAAGUUGCUAGAAUUCAAAGAUGCUCACACCCCAGAAUUAGAAAACAUCACUGUGGCAGUUUCAGGUUCUCAGCAAGCAGACCAAGAAUGCACAUGUGAGCUUCCUUUAUUUCAAGUUAAGGAUGCAUUUUCGGUUUUUAAAGUUCAACAAUAAUAAAAUCAGUUGAAAGCCCAACUUCUAGAGCAGUGCUAUUCAAUAUACUAGCACUGGCCUGUGUGGCUAUACAAAUUUAAACUAAUCAAAACUCAACAAAAUUUAAAAUGCAGUUCCUCAGUGGCAGUAGCCACAUGUUAAGAACUAAAUGGCCACAUGUGGCUAGUAGUCACCUUAUUGGACAAGGCAGCUGUAGUACAUUUCUGUCAUCACAGAAAGUUAUGUUGGAUAGCAUUCCUCUAGAAGCUGCUUCCGUGAAGCUGUGUGCCAGCUUUCUAAGUCAAGUUCUGUCGAUCCUAUUUGGUAGAAAAUAUGAUAAAUGUUUUAGAAAAUCACAAGAGGACUUUUAUUUGGCUGAAAUUUAAACAUAUGCAUGCAAUUUCUUAAAAUAUAUUUUACAUAUUUGAAGGUUCAGUUCACCUUGGAAAGCCAAAUUUCACAUCUACAAUAUGAACAAAAUUUCAACUUCCUGGAGCUCAGUGAUAAUUAUGGAUUAUAGGUUAAAAAUAAAGUUAAUAACUCCUAACAAGAGCAUGAGCAAUGUAAGACUUUUUCCAGGUAACAUUAGAAGCAAGAAAUAACUAAAAAAGGACAUUGCUUAUUUUUAAGGGUAUUAUCUCCAAGUACAUAUCAUUUUAAAGAAUAAAAUUUUGUGUUAUCUUUUUCAAAGCACAGAUAUUUCUUGUACAUGUUAACCUUCUAAGCUGCACAAUAAGAUAUGACAUCGUUUCUUUCCAAGAAAAGAAGUUAGUUCACCUAAGAGAAAAAUGAAUCAGCCUGGAUCCUAUUUUAUUAUUGGUCCAGGAGAAGCAAGGACCCUACCUGACUUCAGGGAGACCAUCUGGGCUAGUUAUUAGAGCUGUUUAUAAAACCCUGGCUCUCCUUCUCUAGGGGUGUGGGAGGGCUCACUUCCCCACUCCCUAAAGUAAAAAAAGGCCACAUGACUUGGCUUAAACAUGAGUAAGAGUAAUGAAUGUCUCUUCCAGAAGAAGCAUUUAAGUAACUGUGCUUGAUUCAUUCCCCCUUUCUCUCUACAUUGACAGUCAUGGAAUCCCAAGUUGGAAUCUCCAUCAGCAGAUAACCACUAGUGAGGACGAUUAAGAAAGGCUCUUUUAAUCUACAUUGGACACAUAGCAAGAGGAAAAAUAAACUUUUCUUAUAUUAAGCCAUUAUGAGCAUGAGGAUGUUUGUUACUGCAGUAUAACAUGGCCUUUGCUGACCAAUACCUCAUCCAAAUCUAGGUCACAUGGCACCAAAUGGCAACACGGUUCUGAGUCUUUUGUUUCUAUGAAUACAAAGUGAAAAAGCUAUAUGUGUACAAAUCAAGAAUCAGAUAAAGGUGAAGAAUCAAACUUGACGAAAGCAAUCCUAGGGGCUGGGCAUGCUGUCUCACGCCUGUAAUCCCAGCACUUUGGGAGGCCAAGGUGGGUGGAUCACAUGAGGUCAGGAGUUCAACACCAGCCUGGCCAACAUGGUGAAACCCAAUCUCUACUAAAAAUACAAAAAUUAGCCAGCCAUGGUGGUGGGUGCCUGUAAUCCCAGCUACUUGGGAGGCUGAGGCAGAAGAAUCGCUUGAACCUGGGAAGCGGAGGUUGCAGUGAGCCAAGAUCGCACCACUGCACUCCAACCUGGGUGAUAGAGCAAGACUCCCUCUCAAAGAAAAAAAAAAAAAAAAGCAAUCCUAGGUCUGAUUUCCUACAGACACUAAACAUAGAAAGAAGAAAUGGCUCAUUCAUGUGAGCACAAACAGUAAAGAGGUUUAUUUAAACUCUGCUGUGAGCUUGGGCCUCCUUUCCUGCCUGGUUGAAUUUAAAAAUACCAUAUAGACUGUGUGUACCUAAGAUGCUUUUCCUACAAGAGCCUUAAAAUUUUCAUUUCUCUCUUUCUAGAUAUGCUGCCAAGAGAAUUUUUUUCUUUAAGAACAAAUAAACUAAAGAAAUUAACAUCCAGCUUGCUGAGUCACUUGCUUUCCACUUGAAUUUUAACUACAAGGAUCUGAAGACAGCCUGUGUUAGGCAGAGAAAGAAAGAGACAGAGAAAGAGUCAGGGAGAAGAGAGGAAGAGAGAUGUAGCUGGAGAGUCAGGGAGAAAUUCAAAGAGAUGGAGAGAGAGACUGGUUCUGGAAAGAAAAGAUAAGUUAAAUAGAAAAAGGAAAGUAAUCUUUGAAAGGUUUGUUUAAGACAUGUAUUUUCUUACUCUGUAGUGGGAGCGCUGAAUAAAAAUAUUUAAAUAAAAGCUGUAAUGUGAUUAAGGUUUGAGUUGGGGUUUAAUCGUGGAAAGAGCAAGGUAUUUAGAGUGAAAGAUCUAACUUUUGUAUUUAUUUUUCAUUUUUUAGUGUUUUCGCUUUUUUAAUCCCAGGUCCUCUACCAUUGACUAUCUGAUGUUAACAAAAUCAGUUCGCUUUUGUGUCUUGGUUUCCUCAUCUAUGAAAAGGGAAUAGAAAAACUUACCACAUAAGUUGGUAGGGAAGACACAAUUCUAUAAAA